AGAGUUUGAUCCUGGCUCAGGACGAACGCUGGCGGCGUGCCUAACACAUGCAAGUCGAGCGAUGAAGCCCUUCGGGGUGGAUUAGCGGCGGACGGGUGAGUAACACGUGGGUAACCUGCCUCAAAGAGGGGGAUAGCCUCCCGAAAGGGAGAUUAAUACCGCAUAACAUUAGUUUUUCGCAUGAAGGACUAAUUAAAGGAGUAAUCCGCUUUGAGAUGGACCCGCGGCGCAUUAGCUAGUUGGUGAGGUAAAGGCUCACCAAGGCGACGAUGCGUAGCCGACCUGAGAGGGUGAUCGGCCACAUUGGAACUGAGAUACGGUCCAGACUCCUACGGGAGGCAGCAGUGGGGAAUAUUGCACAAUGGGCGAAAGCCUGAUGCAGCAACGCCGCGUGAGUGAUGAAGGCCUUCGGGUUGUAAAGCUCUGUCUUUGGGGACGAUAAUGACGGUACCCAAGGAGGAAGCCACGGCUAACUACGUGCCAGCAGCCGCGGUAAUACGUAGGUGGCAAGCGUUGUCCGGAUUUACUGGGCGUAAAGGAUGCGUAGGCGGAUAUUUAAGUGAGAUGUGAAAUUCCCGGGCUUAACUUGGGAGCUGCAUUUCAAACUGGAUAUCUAGAGUGUGGGAGAGGAGAAUGGAAUUCCUAGUGUAGCGGUGAAAUGCGUAGAGAUUAGGAAGAACACCAGUGGCGAAGGCGAUUCUCUGGACCAUAACUGACGCUGAGGCAUGAAAGCGUGGGUAGCAAACAGGAUUAGAUACCCUGGUAGUCCACGCCGUAAACGAUGAGUACUAGGUGUAGGAGGGUCCACCUUCUGUGCCGCAGUUAACACAAUAAGUACUCCGCCUGGGAAGUACGAUCGCAAGAUUAAA
Molecule: ribosomal RNA, 869 nt
Filed under: uncultured bacterium
Lineage: Bacteria
Description: bacterial SSU rRNA
Rfam family: Bacterial small subunit ribosomal RNA
Source: RNAcentral